GAACGAGGAUAUAUCCUUCGGGAUAUAAGCCGAGUGGCACAAGGGUGAGCAAUGCAUAGAUUACCUACCUUUAGGAUAAGGGCAACUUUGUGAAAACGGAGCUAAUACUUAAUAAUACAAAAGAAAAUAAUUUUCUUUUGUCAAAGGGAGGGUAGCAAUACCUUUCGCCUAGAGAGGGGUUUAUGUCCUAUCAGCUUGUUGGUGGGGUAAUAGCCUACCAAGGCGAAGACGGGUAGCCGGUUUAAGAGGAUGGUCGGCCACACUGGGACUGAGACACUGCCCAGACUUCUACGGAAGGCUGCAGUCGAGAAUCUUUCGCAAUGCCCGAAAGGGUGACGAAGCGACGCCGCGUGGGUGAAGAAGGCCUUCGGGUUGUAAAGCCCUGUCAGGAGUUAUGAAAUGUAAGUGCGCUAAUAUCGUGCUUAUUUGACAAAGGCUCCAAAGGAAGCCACGGCUAACUCUGUGCCAGCAGCCGCGGUAAUACAGAGGUGGCGAGCGUUGUUCGGAAUUAUUGGGCGUAAAGAGCACGUAGGUGGGUUUGCAAGUCAGAUGUGAAAGCCUUCUGUUCAACGGAAGAAUUGCAUCUGAAACUGCUAAUCUUGAGUAUAGGAGGGGAGAAUGGAACUUCUGGUGGAGCGGUGAAAUGCGUAGAUAUCAGAAGGAACGCCGGCGGCGAAAGCGAUUCUCUGGCCUAUUACUGACACUCAGUGUGCGAAAGCUAGGGGAGCAAACGGGAUUAGAUACCCCGGUAGUCCUAGCCGUAAACGAUGGGCACUAAGUAGAGGGAAUUACCUAUAUUCUCUCUGCCGUAGCUAACGCAUUAAGUGCCCCGCCUGGGGAGUACGGCCGCAAGGCUAAAACUCAAAAGAAUUGACGGGGGCUCGCACAAGCGGUGGAGCAUGUGGCUUAAUUCGAUGCAACGCGAAAAACCUUACCGGGGCUUGACAUGAUAGAAGUAGGAACCUGAAAGGGGGACGAACGGUAUCCAGUCCGUAGCUAUCACAGGUGUUGCAUGGCUGUCGUCAGCUCGUGUCGUGAGACGUUGGGUUAAGUCCCCUAACGAGCGAAACCCUUGUUUUUAGUUACCAGCGGGUUAUGCCGGGUACUCUAGAAAGACUGCCGUCGUCAAGACGGAGGAAGGUGGGGAUGACGUCAAGUCAUCAUGGCCCUUAUGCCCCGGGCUGCACACGUGCUACAAUGGUCGGUACGGACGGAAGCGAAGCCGAGAGGUGAAGCGAAUCCUAAAAAGCCGAUCUCAGUUCGGAUUGGAGGCUGAAAUUCGCCUCCAUGAAGUUGGAAUCGCUAGUAAUCGCGGAUCAGCAAUGUCGCGGUGAAUAUGUUCCCGAGCCUUGUACACACCGCCCGUCAAGCCACCCAAGCAGGAUGCACCCGAAAACAUUAUAUCUAACCAGGGCAACUUGGAGGAAAAUGUUGAAGGAGUGUUUUGUGAGGAGGACU
Molecule: ribosomal RNA, 1458 nt
Filed under: uncultured anaerobic ammonium-oxidizing bacterium
Lineage: Bacteria
Description: bacterial SSU rRNA
Rfam family: Bacterial small subunit ribosomal RNA
Source: RNAcentral